Molecule: ribosomal RNA, 440 nt
Filed under: uncultured bacterium
Lineage: Bacteria
Description: partial 16S ribosomal RNA
Rfam family: Bacterial small subunit ribosomal RNA
Source: RNAcentral
CCUACGGGAGGCAGCAGUGGGGAAUAUUGCACAAUGGGGGAAACCCUGAUGCAGCGACGCCGCGUGAGUGAAGAAGUAUUUCGGUACGUAAAGCUCUAUCAGCAGGGAAGAAAAUGACGGUACCUGACUAAUAAGCCCCGGCUAACUACGUGCCAGCAGCCGCGGUAAUACGUAGGGGGCAAGCGUUAUCCGGAUUUACUGGGUGUAAAGGGAGCGUAGACGGCAGCGCAAGUCUGGAGUGAAAUCCCAUGGCUGAACCAUGGAACUGCUUUGGAAACUGUGCAGCUAGAGUGCAGGAGAGGUAAGCGGAAUUCCUGGUGUAGCGGUGAAAUGCGUAGAUAUUAGGAGGAACACCAGUGGCGAAGGCGGCUUACUGGACUGUAACUGACGUUGAGGCUCGAAAGCGUGGGGAGCAAACAGGAUUAGAUACCCGAGUAGUC